GGGGUUGUAGCUCAGUGGUAGAGUGCUUGCCUCACAAGCACUAGGUUGUGAGACACUAGGUUCAGUCCUCAGCACCA
RNAcentral lists this transfer RNA (77 nucleotides) under Marmota monax (woodchuck). RNAcentral's name for it is "tRNA.Val". The record is from RNAcentral. Lineage: Eukaryota; Metazoa; Chordata; Mammalia; Rodentia; Sciuridae.